GACAUUGGUUGCACCAGGCUGAACUGAAGAGAGAAGCGGUGAAUUUCCUUGCUCCCAACCUGUGAUCCGCCUAUUCAACUACAGGUCUCUGUGGGUGCUGGUGCCUGUGCCUCCAUAAAGUUGCAUUAGAUCCUGCUAGAGUUCACAGAGGAGAUUCACAAGUGUACAAGUAUUUGUCAGCAACAAGAGCCUCUCCAGAUCAAGAUCACUUGUUGUCUAGAGGAGCACACACGUGCCAGUUCCUAGGGCUGUGUGAUGAUAAGAGUUGUCACCGGGUUAUUAGCUGUUGGAGAUGCUGCAGCUGAACAAGGUGCAGCUGAACAAGGCAAGAGGAACCCAAGCCUGGGAGACCUAUCCACGGAUCAUGUUUCCAAUGAGAAAUUACAGAAGAAUUAUUGCUGUGGUGGAGAUUUCAAGACUUCCAAAGGGUGAGCACGAAAGAGGUAGAGAAAAAAAAGUGCUUUUUAAAAUUUUUUUAAGGCUUUGUAAAAGUUUUCAAGUUUUUUUUUGUUUUGUUUUGUUUUUGCUUUCUGUUUUUUGGACAGGCAGAGUGGACAGUGAGAGAGAGAGAGAGAGAGACAGAGAGAGAGAUCUUCCUUUUCCAUUGGUUCACCUCCCAAUGGCCACUGUGGCUGGCGCGCUGCGGCCGACACACUAUGCUGAUCCGAAGCAGGAGCCAGGUGCUUCUGGUCUCCCAUGUAGGUGCAGAGCCCAAGGACUUGGGCCAUCCUCCACUGCACUCCCGGGCCACAGCAGAGAGCUGGACAGGAAGAGGAGCAACUGGAACAGAAUCCGGCGACCGGGACUAGAACCUGGUGUGCCAGCGCCACAGGUGGAGGAUUAG
This 844-nucleotide long non-coding RNA is filed under the name Oryctolagus cuniculus (rabbit). Its description in RNAcentral is "lncRNA (ENSOCUG00000035591.1)". The record is from RNAcentral. Lineage: Eukaryota; Metazoa; Chordata; Mammalia; Lagomorpha; Leporidae.